AAAUUGAAGAGUUUGAUCAUGGCUCAGAUUGAACGCUGGCGGCAGGCCUAACACAUGCAAGUCGAACGGUAACAGGAAGAAGCUUGCUUCUUUGCUGACGAGUGGCGGACGGGUGAGUAAUGUCUGGGAAACUGCCUGAUGGAGGGGGAUAACUACUGGAAACGGUAGCUAAUACCGCAUAACGUCGCAAGACCAAAGAGGGGGACCUUCGGGCCUCUUGCCAUCGGAUGUGCCCAGAUGGGAUUAGCUAGUAGGUGGGGUAAGGGCUCACCUAGGCGACGAUCCCUAGCUGGUCUGAGAGGAUG
RNAcentral lists this ribosomal RNA (305 nucleotides) under Escherichia coli. Its description in RNAcentral is "partial 16S ribosomal RNA". It matches the Rfam family "Bacterial small subunit ribosomal RNA", at positions 1 to 302 of the family's 1533-position model. The record is from RNAcentral. Lineage: Bacteria; Pseudomonadati; Pseudomonadota; Gammaproteobacteria; Enterobacterales; Enterobacteriaceae.